This is a long non-coding RNA of Ahaetulla prasina, 2834 nucleotides long. RefSeq lists it as uncharacterized. NCBI's taxonomy places the organism in Eukaryota, Metazoa, Chordata, Lepidosauria, Squamata, Colubridae. The transcript is spliced from 3 exons. The record is from RefSeq and is a predicted model, not a curated record.
UUUGGCGCUCUUUUCACCAGGCACAAAACAAACCCAGCCGGAGAAACUUGACUGGGCCUAAUAUGGAGCCUGCCUCAGCUGCUUCCAUCGAGAGGGAGAAGUGUGUCUCUGAACAAAGGAAUAUGUCAAACAGCUGGCCAUGGAUUUUCUGCAAGAGCCACUACUAUUCCAUCCACCUUACUUGGAGGACUGGGAUUAAGGCCUACCCUAUCUGCAAUAUACAAGAUGGCCCAGCGGUUAAAGAUGCUGAACUUGUCAAUUGGACAGCAGUUUGAUACCCAAGUGCCACGUGACGGGGUGAGCUCCUGUUACUUGCCCCUACUCCUGCCCACCUAGCAGUUUGAAAGCAUGCAAAUGCGAGUAGAUAAAUAGGUACCACCUCAGUGGGAAGGUAACGGUAUUCCGUGCACCUUAGCGUACAGUCCUUUUGGCUCCGGAGAUGAGCAUUGGCCUCUUAGAGUCGGAAACGACUGGAAAGGGUACCUUUACCUGAGAAUUGGUGUGCCAUUUUGUGGCUCCCAAAGUCAUCUGUGAAUUCUUAGGAUAUACAAUUUCCAAAUUUCCUCUUCCACUGAUAAAGCAAAAUCUUUUUCAUCGCAGGUAAAAAUACAAAACUGCAACUUAAAGGAUCUCUAUAGAAUUAUAAUUAAAGUCGAAACAGUAACCUAAAAAUAAUCCUCCCAGCCUUAUACAACAAAUCAGAUGGAGGUGUUUAAAAACAAUUAAAAAAAACAACCAGCAUCAAAAAUGCAAUUACAUUGUUGGUCUGUUAAUCAAAAACAGAGCUUUUCUCCCCCCCCCUCUUUCUACAAAGCUUAAUAUUUUCAGUUUUGAAAAAGCCAUUCAGAGACAUCAUCUUGCUCUCUUCUAAGGAGCAAUUAUGUUUUAGAAAUUGAGACAGUUGAAGAUAAGCAAUCUUUGCGCUAGAUAUAUACAUCCCAAACAGUAGGAGAGUUUUCUUCGUGUAAUGAAUCCUGUAUCUUUGAUAUCAGCUGGGUAUCCACAGAGAUGCUAUUAAGACACACCAGCUCUUGUUUCUUCACCUUCCUAAUUGCCUGGGUUUGGGGUAGCCAUUUGUUCCCUGCAGAAGAAGGAAAAGAGGUAAUUUGAGCCAGGGUACCUUCUUCAGAAAGUACCUUCUUUAUGAAACUUGGACCAUAAGGAAGGCUGAGCUCCAAAGAAUUGAGGUCUUCCUGAACUAUGAUGCUGGAGAAGACUCCUGCGAGUCCCUUGGACUGCAAGGUGAUCAAACCGGUCAGUCCUGGAGGACAUCAACCCUGACUGCUCUUUAGAAGGCCAGAUCCUGAAGAGGAAACUCAAAUACUUUGGCCACCUAAUGAGAAGGAAGGACUCGCUGGAGAAGAACCUAAUGCUGGGAACGAUUGAGGGCAAAAGAAGAAGGGGAUGGCAGAGAAUGAGGUGGCUGAAUGGAGUCACUGAAGCAGUAGGCGUGAGCUUAAAUGGACUCCAGAGGAUUGUAGAGGAGAGGAAGGCCUGGAGCAACAUGGGGUCGUGAUGAUUCUACAGAUUUGCUAGAUAAUAGAAAGUAUUCUUUUCUAUAGUACAUUUGGAAUGAUUUACAGGAAGGGGUGAUAACCAAGUUAGAGUACCAUGUUUGGUAAAAUGGACAGCUCAACGGAAGCUGGAAAGUUGAUGCCACACCUGGGAGGCAAAGUUGCUAUUCUUCCUUUCUAGAACCCUUGAUAGGGAAGAGUACAGGUAGCUCUCAACUUACAAGCAUUCGUUUAGUGACUAUUCAAAGUUAUAACAGAGCUGAAAAAAAAAAGUGACUUAUAACCGUUUUACACUCAACCACUGCAGCAUCCCCAUCACCCUCUUUCACUGUAUGGCACUGAAUGCUGGGCAGCAACAACAGGGACUGAAAGCCAUCUCCAUCAGUGAUAUUAGAGAUUGAAACGACUCCUAAAAAUUUGAAGACUUCAUUUGCUCAAUCUGAUUGCUGUUGAUUUUCCCCUGAGGAAGGACUUUAAUGCACCAUUUUGUGAAUAAAACCAUUCCCCUCCUCCCUCACAUCCAGAUAUUCACGUCCCUGCAGUUUUCCUGGCAGGAUUUCAUAACUGGCUUGCCCUUGUCUUCUUCCAGGGACUGGGAGAGAGUGACUGGCCCAAGGUUACCCAGCUGGCUUUGAGCCUAAGCAGGACUAGAAACUCACAGACUGAACUCACAGUCUCCUUGGAACAGUAACAGAGUUGGAAGGGACCUUGGAAGUCAUCUAGUCCAACCCUCUGCUGACGCAGGAGAUCUGUACUAGGGAUUUGAACCACCAAACUGCGACCUUUCUGAUUGACAAGCUCAGUGUCUUAGCCACUGAGUUUCUCGCCUGGUGCCUUAAUUCCUACCCCAAACUGGCUUUCUACUUUUCUCUUACUAUAAUUAAUUUCUACUUUUUCUUCUCUACAAUAAGCAUCUAUGGUUUAUAAACUCCCUUGAAGACCAACUAGUACUGGGGACAGGAUGACUGCAUUAACCACUCAAAACAAAAUAAAUAUUGAAUUUUUUUGCUAGCAUUAGGGGAUGAUUUUCCUUUCCCCCCCCUUAAGGACUAAAUUAGGGAGUUGAUAUAAAGAUUAAAUAAAAGGUGGGGAAGAGUGCAAUUUUGUUCAAUUCCCCUUAUAGUGGGGCUCGACUGGAGUCUGAAAGAUCUUUACCCAUUGUCUUUCUGACUUCCAUGGUAUGUUUAAAUUGUUUAAACUGCACUUGGUACAUUUAAACGUUGGUUAAAAGUAGCUCAUUACAUCGGAUCAAUUUCCAAUGGCUAACAUAACGCUCCUUAAAUUAUCCAAUAUGUCUCCUUGUCAAUUUUUCCAGACAGA